CCUACGGGAGGCAGCAGUGGGGAAUAUUGGGCAAUGGGCGCAAGCCUGACCCAGCAACGCCGCGUGAAGGCAGAAGGCUUUCGGGUUGUAAACUUCUUUUGUCAGGGAAGAGUAGAAGACGGUACCUGACGAAUAAGACACGGCUAACUACGUGCCAGCAGCCGCGGUAAUACGUAGGUGGCAAGCGUUGUCCGGAUUUACUGGGUGUAAAGGGCGUGUAGCUGGGUUGACAAGUCAGAUGUGAAAUCCUGCGGCUUAACCGCCGAACUGCAUUUGAAACUGUUGAUCUUGAGUACUGGAGAGGCAGACGGAAUUCCUAGUGUAGCGGUGAAAUGCGUAGAGAUGAGGAGGAACACCAGUGGCGAAGGCGGUCUGCUGGACAGCAACUGACGGUGAGGCGCGAAAGCGUGGGGAGCAAACAGGAUUAGAUACCCUAGUAGUC
RNAcentral lists this ribosomal RNA (442 nucleotides) under uncultured bacterium. RNAcentral's name for it is "partial 16S ribosomal RNA". It matches the Rfam family "Bacterial small subunit ribosomal RNA", at positions 338 to 795 of the family's 1533-position model. The record is from RNAcentral.